AAGAAUCUGAAGCUGGGGGAGGCAAAGCAGCUUACCCAAGAUGUGGAAGCUGAGGCACAGAGAAUUAAGUCAUCCAUGCAAGAUUACAGUGGCAGGACCGCAGCCAGGACCAGGGCCCCACCUGACACCUGCCUGGUUCAAAGGAGCUCUUCCCCAGGCUGGACUUGGCUCGGAUUCCCAGGUGUGGGCUGGGGUCCUGAUGUGGACCUUCCAGACUCCUGGA
Microcebus murinus (gray mouse lemur) is the source of this 223-nucleotide non-coding RNA. The record is from RefSeq and is a predicted model, not a curated record. Lineage: Eukaryota; Metazoa; Chordata; Mammalia; Primates; Cheirogaleidae.